CUCCCAAAUUCUCUUCAAAAUUCCGUUUUUCCUCGUAUGUUUUUUUUUUUUUAAAUUCAUACCAUAACAAAUACACAUAGUUAACAAACAUCACUGAAAGCCCAUAAGGCCCGUCGAUACCAUCACAAGGUAAAAAAAGAGUUAUCUCUACCCAAAACGUAUCGAGAGAUAUUGGAGUAUAACAAUGCCAAGUGUUGCACAAGAAAGUGAUAUGCUUUUCCAUCAUCCUCUGCCACUUGGACUCUGAUUCCGGUGAAUAAAAUCAAUACCGGAGAAACACGACACAAAAAGAAAAUAUUGAAACCAGCCACCGUCUAUGAAAACCGACUGAUGGUGGAAAAGGAACCG
This is a long non-coding RNA of Arabidopsis thaliana (thale cress), 348 nucleotides long. RefSeq annotates it as other RNA. The transcript has a single exon. Lineage: Eukaryota; Viridiplantae; Streptophyta; Magnoliopsida; Brassicales; Brassicaceae. The record is from RefSeq.